Long non-coding RNA from Xiphophorus couchianus (Monterrey platyfish), 1140 nucleotides. RefSeq lists it as uncharacterized. The record is from RefSeq and is a predicted model, not a curated record. The transcript is spliced from 4 exons. NCBI's taxonomy places the organism in Eukaryota, Metazoa, Chordata, Actinopteri, Cyprinodontiformes, Poeciliidae.
AAGCCACAUGGGCGCCCGGGCGCCACCGCUGCUUGUACCGUGUUUACACAAACUGGAAAUGUGCUGAUGGGGACAAGAGGCGUCCGAAACCCGGCGGCCAGCUGCCGGGUGGAGGCAAACGUUGUUUGUGGUGGUGGUGAUGGGCGCAGGCAGCUGCCACGGCAACGGGUGUGCUUAACGACGAAGGGAGAGAGCGAGAGUAAAAAGGUCAAAGGUCUCAUAUUAACAGGUGGGCAGAUAAUGCGAACCAGGAGGGCGGCCAUGCCCGGCUCAUUCACACCGCCGCGGAGGAGAAACGACCGCGGAGCGCGGGAUUGAGAUUACUGGGAUUGAAGCUGGCACUUCACACUCCUCCAAAGCUCCGGGGACGGGGCCAGACUCCAGGCGUCCACUACGGGUGGAGGUGUGGAAGCUCCACUUCCUCUUGGACCAGCAGCGGGAGACCAAUUAGGAAAGAAAAUGAAAGACUUUCUUUUUUUUUAAAACUUUUCUUUCAUCGCUCUAUCUUUCCUUCCUAUCUGUUUUCCUCAAGGUUGAAUAAUGACAAACGAAGACAGACGUUUGCUCUCAUGUGACGUGUGGAUGAUUCUCCACACACGUCCGAUAAGAGUUGAAUACUGCGUUCUUGUACGACAGCGAAAGGGAAGCAUAAAGUUGCAACUGUCCAUUAAAUAAUUGAUGGCUUUAUUAAAACGGGGCUUUCAUAAAUUUUCUUCAAACAGAAAAGCUGGUCCUAAUUUGACAACAAGCUACUGAAAAGGUUCUAGAUUUGAGAUUAAGUACUAUAUUUUUUUUAGGGGGGUUGAGAUUAUUUUUGUAAGAUUAAGUUAAUAAUCACUAAAUAAUGAUUACUUAAUAGUUAAUAGAUCAUCUUUUAUAUUCAGAAAGUGAUGAUAUCUAAAGAACAAUACUGAUUAAUGAACUAAUUUACUACGAUUAUACAAAAUGCCUCAGAAACAUACUCACGCCCUUUAAAUUUUUUCCCACAAUUAUACCAUUACAGGCAUAAACUUUAAUGCGUUUUACUGGGAUUCUGGGUAACACAUUAAUACAAAGUAAAGUAAUAAAUAUCUACUGUAUGAAAUAAAAUAAAAUUUGACAAAAUGUAAUAUUUGUUGCUGGUUUGGUAAUUUUCUGAUG